RNA transcript from Rhagoletis zephyria (snowberry fruit fly), 2186 nucleotides. RefSeq lists it as uncharacterized. The record is from RefSeq and is a predicted model, not a curated record. Lineage: Eukaryota; Metazoa; Arthropoda; Insecta; Diptera; Tephritidae.
UGCAACAGAUGUUUUUCACUUGCCGAAUGUAAGAAAAUAAAGUUGACCUGAGAUUCAAGUGUUUUGCAAAAAAUUUAAUUUAAUUAAUAAAAAAGGGAGAACCCACAUCGAGAAACACCGGAUAUACAUAUUAUAUAACAAUAUGAAUAAGGUAAGUAAGCGUCAUCUUAGAAGAUUGGUUCGAAAAGAAAGAGAAAAGAACCGUGAAAUGUUGAGGUUAAGUGAAACUGCGCAGAAUAGUGCGUCUGCGCCCAUUGCUAGAGUUGUCGAAAGUGGAGAGGAUGUGCCAGGUAAUGCGGUAAAUGAAGAUUUGAAAAUACCUUUUUGUGAAAAUCUUAAAAUGUGGGCUAUUCGCAAUAAAAUAUCCCACAAAAGCCUUUCCGAACUUUUGACAAUCCUUGCAAAUGAAAAUAUUAAUGUACCUAGAUGCGCAGGAACGAUUUUAAAAAAUUGCUCGCAGAUUAUAGUACAAAAUAUUAGUCCUGGGUUAUUUUGCAACAUUGGCAUUAAAACACAAUUAGAAAAAAUUUCCGGUGAGUUAUUUAAUUAUGAAGCCAUAAUUGUCGAUAUAAAUAUCGAUGGGUUGCCUUUAUACCGCAGCUCUCGUAUGCAAUUAUGGCCAAUUUUGGUUAGAGUUGUGAAUGUGCCAAAUAUAUCUGUGUUUGCUACUGGUCUUUUUGUAGGGCGAAGUAAACCAGAUUCAAUAACAGAAUUUUUAAGUGAAUUUGUUGCAGAAGUUAAAGAGCUUGAAGCUAAUGGUUUUGAAAGUAAUGGGCGGUGCAUUACUUUCAAAAUUAGGGCUUUUGUUUGCGAUGCCCCAGCAAAAUCUUUUCUUUGCGGGAUACCAGGUCAUACUUCACGUCAUGGUUGUCCCAAAUGCACCCAAGUGGGGAAAAAAAUUGACGGCGUACUGACUUUUAGUACGGAGGUUGGAACCCUGAUAUCAAGUAUAGACUUUUCUGAACGCAAAUAUCCAAAUAAACAUUCAUCUAUUUUUGCACAUAAUUUAUCCCCUUUAGAAGAAAUCAAUAUUAAAAUGAUAUCCCAAGUCCCCUUUGAUGUCAUGCACCUCAUUGAUUUAGGUGUUAUGCGCAAGUUUAUUUUACGCAUUAUUAAUAACAACUGCAAUUAUAAGUUCAAGGAAGAAACCAAAAUUAAAAUAUCAACAAAACUAGUAGCCUUAUCUUCGAACAUUACCAAAGAGUUUGUUCGAAAACCUAGAUCUUUUAAUGAAAUUUUAAAUUGGAAAGCUACCGAAUUCCGCAUGUUUCUCCUCUAUUACGGCAUUUAUGUUUUAAAAGAUGAAAUUCCCAACGAAAUAUAUUAUGAAUUUCUCCUUUUACAUUGCGCUUGUAGAUUAUUUUUCUGCCCAAAACAUUAUGCUUCUAACAUUGAUGUGGGGAGAAAUAUGCUAAAAUUAUUUGUGGAAAAUUUUCCAGUAAUUUUUGGGGACAAUAGUGUUUCCUACAAUGUACAUGGGUUACUUCAUGUUCACGAAUAUGUUAAAGAACUAGGUGUACCUUCAAAUUACUCGGCCUACCAAUUUGAAAAUUAUUUACAAAUACUAAAAUCAUACGUUAAAAAACCAACUAAAAUAUUGCAACAAAUAACGAAUAUGUUGAAACACGAAAAAAUUGUAACUGCGCCAAAAUUUACUGGAUUUCAUAUUAAAAACGUUUGUGUAAGUUUUCAUUUUAAAGAUUUCAUCUUAUCCAAUAAAUAUCCCAAUAAUUACUGUUCUCUUGAAUCGUUCCAAUAUAUACUAAUUCAACAAUUUGGGGACGUAAAUAGUAAAACUUUAAAGGGCAAGAAAUUAUUAAAUUUAGAGAAUUUUUUCACAGAACCAAUCGAUUCCUGCACAUUAGGGAUAUGUACUGCAGACACCACUUCAUUUGGCCAUGAAGAGGAAUUUUCUCUCGAUGAUGUUGAAUUCAAAUUGAUGUGCAUUCCAUUUGAGGAGAAAAUUCUUCUCAUUCCCAUUUUACACACUUGCAUGUGAUUUCUUUACGAUCUUUAACUUUCUACUAUUUUAUUUUUUAACUUUUAUAUAACUGAGAUAAAAUCAUUCACUUUUUAUUUUUCUCGAGCACCUUUUUAAAAAAUACGGAGCGCAAAACCCGAUCACGUCGGCGGCGAAAAUCCCGAUAAAAAAGACAAAAUAUACGACCGAGAAUAAAAUGCUGUUA